This 425-nucleotide ribosomal RNA is filed under the name uncultured bacterium. RNAcentral describes it as "bacterial SSU rRNA". It matches the Rfam family "Bacterial small subunit ribosomal RNA", at positions 354 to 796 of the family's 1533-position model. The record is from RNAcentral.
GUGGGGAAUAUUGGACAAUGGGCGAAAGCCUGAUCCAGCCAUGCCGCGUGAGUGAUGAAGGCCUUAGGGUUGAAAAGCUCUUUCAGUAGGGAAGAUAAUGACGCUACCUACAGAAGAAGCCCCGGCUAACUUCGUGCCAGCAGCCGCGGUAAUACGAAGGGGGCUAGCGUUGUUCGGAUUUACUGGGCGUAAAGCGCACGUAGGCGGAUUGGUCAGUUAGAGGUGAAAUCCUGGAGCUCAACUCCAGAACUGCCUUUAAUACUGCCAGUCUAGAGUCCAGAAGAGGUGAGUGGAACUCCUAGUGUAGAGGUGGAAUUCGUAGAUAUUAGGAAGAACACCAGUGGCGAAGGCGGCUCACUGGUCUGGUACUGACGCUGAGGUGCGAAAGCGUGGGGAGCAAACAGGAUUAGAUACCCGUGUAGUCC